UGUUCAGAUAUUAACUGAUAA
This 21-nucleotide non-coding RNA is filed under the name Caenorhabditis elegans. The record is from RNAcentral. Lineage: Eukaryota; Metazoa; Nematoda; Chromadorea; Rhabditida; Rhabditidae.